Molecule: ribosomal RNA, 454 nt
Filed under: uncultured bacterium
Lineage: Bacteria
Description: partial 16S ribosomal RNA
Rfam family: Bacterial small subunit ribosomal RNA
Source: RNAcentral
AACGAACGCUGGCGGCAGGCUUAACACAUGCAAGUCGAACGCAUCCUUCGGGGUGAGUGGCAGACGGGUGAGUAACGCGUGGGAACGUGCCCUUCAGUUCGGGAUAACCCAGGGAAACUUGGGCUAAUACCGGAUACGUGCGAGAGCAGAAAGAUUUAUCGCUGAAGGAUCGGCCCGCGUCUGAUUAGCUAGUUGGUGGGGUAAUGGCCCACCAAGGCGACGAUCAGUAGCUGGUCUGAGAGGAUGAUCAGCCACAUUGGGACUGAGAAACGGCCCAAACUCCUACGGGAGGCAGCAGUGGGGAAUAUUGGACAAUGGGCGCAAGCCUGAUCCAGCCAUGCCGCGUGAGUGAUGAAGGCCUUAGGGUUGUAAAGCUCUUUUAGUAGGGAAGAAGCGAAAGUGACGGUACCUGCAGAAAAAGCACCGGCUAACUACGUGCCAGCAGCCGCGGUAA